Non-coding RNA from Cyanistes caeruleus (blue tit), 2508 nucleotides. The record is from RefSeq and is a predicted model, not a curated record. NCBI's taxonomy places the organism in Eukaryota, Metazoa, Chordata, Aves, Passeriformes, Paridae.
UGGAGAAGCAUAAAGAAGGAUAAUUCUACAUUUAAGGCAGAGGAAAGGGUUCAGCCAUGUCCAGUUUUGUGGAUCUUUUUGUACUGUUGUGUUUCAAACUCCCUCUCAUAUUCACAAAAGAGAAUUUCCAUUUUGUAUAAAUAGGAUGUUGAUGGUAAAGGAGAUUGUGGCGCUUCCAAAUCUCCAGUACAGCUGUACAGAGCAUUAUAUGAGUUUAACAAUCUGAUUCUUCUUACUACUAAGCCUUGCAGAGACUUACCCAGCUUAUUCUUUUGUCUCCUUUUACUGUUCCACUGUUCCAGUGCUAUCAGAGCUGCUCGGGUUGGUAAGCAAAGGUAUUUCCUGUGCAAACAGAACUCUUGGAAAUGUUCCAGCACUUAAGCAGCGCUGCUGGAUCUAGGAGCUGCUCAGCUGGGUUGGUAGCAGUCAGUGAUACAGCCAUCAGCACACUGGAAUAACUGGGAUUUUGGGAUAAGUCACCUCAGAUUUUCAGGAGUGAAGCUGAAGUUUCCAGCCAGUCAUUGAAUUGAAUCUUCUGGUUUGGACUAGAAAAAGUUGAUUUCAAGGUCCCUUUCCCUUCCAAAGGACACACAGACACAAAUGAAACUGCUCUGAAAAGCUUUCAGAAAUUGUUGUGGUUUUCCUGCACUCUUCAUUGCUGCUGCAGGUUUGUGAAACACAGCAGAGAGCACAGAGCCCUGACCCUUCAAAGCAACCAGGACCAAUUUCUCCCCAGCAGAAUCUGGCAGCACUGAUUAAUGUCCAGCACCAUCAGCACCAGGACUAUGUACAAGCUGCUAAAAGCUAUAAAAAUGCAUCAACCUCUACUCCAACAUAUAGUAAAGAAAGUAUUUUUAAAAAUCCCAAUCAGCAUCUCACUAAACAAGACAAUAAUGAAGUUAGCUUAUUUUAAUUUGGGUGAUUGAUUGUCAAGAUGCAACAACUGUUUCUCCAGUCUACACACCAGCAGUCUGUUUUUACAUGAAAGCACCAAGCAGGAAAUUGCUCCAUGAUAAAGGGGCAAUCUCUGGAUGUGCUGGCAGGGCAAGUGACUGGAAGGCACGAAGCCCAACCAAACAGCUGGAAGUGGCAGAACUGAGAUAAACGAAGCUCCCUGUGAAAGAAUAUCCCGAGGGAGCUCGGCUCAAAGGAGACCAAAAAAUCCAUUUUGAGAAGUGCAGCAUCAAGCAGAGAAAAAAGUUUCACUCAGGAACAUCCUACCAGGUGGUUCUGGGUGAGCACAACCUCCUGGAGGUGGAUGGCACUGAGUACUACCUUGGUGUGGAUUCAAUCUGCAUCCAUGACAGCUGGAAUCCUAGUGACAUUGCCAACAGCUCUGACAUUGCCCUGCUGUGCCUCGGAUCUCCUGCCAAUGCCAACGGGUUCGCUGAGCUGGGAGCGCUUCCACCUAAGGGAGAAAUUUUUCCCAAUGACUAUUCCUGCCGUGUUACUGGCUGAGAAGUGGUCAGUGGAAUCAGCAAGCAGAGAGAAAAACCUCCAGCUCCUCAGGGUGCACCUCUCCUCUCUGAUUCUGGAGAGUAGAUUGUCCCUGUCUCUCAGCAGCGUGUCCCAAGUUCCAGAUCCUGGGGACAAGGGUGAGACUUUGGCAGUCACCUCUGCCCUGACCCAAAGGGUGAAGCUACAAGGAAGUUUUCCCACUCUUCCAGUGCUGCUGUUUUGCUUUGUUGUACCCUGAGCCAGGCAUUGCUACAUCCUGCUUGUCAACCUUCUCCUUCCCAUCCACUCUGUUUGCAGCAGAGCUUGCUGCAAGUUUGGGCUAUGUCCAACAGCUUUCUCUGGCCCAGAGGUGGGAAAAGAAGAUAUUGUGAGGUUCCCAUUAUCCCAGAGGAUCCAGGUGGCCUCAGCAUCAAGGCAAGGAGGUUUGGCAUGAGAAGUCAAGAAAUAUUUGUUACCUCUUCCUGUAUUCCCUUCACUGCAAAGGUGGCUUCUAAUAAAAGCAACCAUGUAGAGCCCUUAAAAAAGUGUGAGAAAAUACAUAAUGUGUGAUUAAGUAAAUAUAGGAAUAUAGAAACAUACAGGAGUAAAGCAGGUUGUACAAUUAUGCAUAGUACAGUUAUAGGUACAGAAUAAUUAUAGGUCUGUAGAUGUUUAGUGUAUUUUUUUGUGUGUGUGUGAGUGAUUUAAUUAUGUCAGAACCUUGUUACAAAUCAGGUUGUGAGCCCAGGAAGAGCCUUUAUCUUCUCACAUAUUUUAAGUCUCUAGUGCUCCUUUAUCCUACCCGUUCAUUGCUCAGAUAAUUUGGCUGAAUAUUUCCUUUCCUUCCUCCAAUCCAGGGGGACUCUGGGGGUCCUCUCAGCUGCUACAGGGAUGAUCACUGGGAAGUCCAUGGCAUUUUUACUACGGAGAAUAAUAGAGAAGGAUCGCUUGGUGCAUGAAUAUAUGAGAUAAAAUUAAGUAGCUGUGCUCUUUAACCCUCUUCUCAUCCUUUCUGCACCUCUCUGGGUUAUUAACAGCAAGAUUUGGCUAAUAUUGGUGUAAUAAAGUCUC